Molecule: long non-coding RNA, 537 nt
Organism: Pelobates fuscus (common spadefoot toad)
Lineage: Eukaryota; Metazoa; Chordata; Amphibia; Anura; Pelobatidae
Exons: 3
Source: RefSeq, a predicted model, not a curated record
AGAAAAAAAUGAAGUAUCAAAGACUAUCCAGUUAUGAAGAACCUGCAUCAUUCAAAGAAUUCCUCUGUAAAAAUGUGCCGACUGGUUGAACAUGGUUCCAAAGUAGUCAUGAAAUAUCUCAACUGUCUUCAAUGGUAUUUGUUGAACAAGACGGUGGAAGUUAUCUUUGUGGCGUCAAAGGAACAACUCUCUUCCUAGGGCAAUCAGCACACUAGCAAUUAAGGGUAUUGCUGCUUAAGCUCAGUGGAAAGCUAUGCAGAGGAUAAUGAUGACCGUGCACCACCCAUUUCACUGAAGAUCAGGGCGUCAUACAUCAUUUGACAUACAGCAUGUUUCAGCAGAUAGAUGCUUUAAAACAUGUGAGUCAAUACAUGCAUAUAUUAUUUAUUCAGAUUCAUUGAAUAAUCAGGUGGAUAUCAGGAGGAUCAUAACACUCUAAAUUGUUUAAAUAUUGUUAUGCAUUUUGAUGGAUUUUAUUUAACACUUUUGGGGGAUUCACUGUAGCUUAGUAAUGCUUCUUUUAAUUAAAACUAUACA